RNAcentral lists this long non-coding RNA (1507 nucleotides) under Cricetulus griseus (Chinese hamster). RNAcentral describes it as "lncRNA (ENSCGRG00015039619.1)". The record is from RNAcentral. Lineage: Eukaryota; Metazoa; Chordata; Mammalia; Rodentia; Cricetidae.
CACUGGAUUCUCACCUGAGACUUUACCCAUGCUGGCACGGCCUCAUGGUCUAAGGAGACAUCGGGGCAUACGGAGGGUUAACUGAAGGGAGAACUCUGCCGAUGCAGCUGGGAGAAAUUGCCACCCAAGCUGGGGUGAGACUUGGUGGUGGUGUGGCUGCUUUGGGCUUUCCCACGCUCCUGCUAGGACCAAUCUUCUGUCUUCCGUUGGUGUCUUGACCAAGGCUCAGAGUCUGGAAAAACAAAAGGGAUUCAGGAAAACAAAAUUUCUUCUGGAGACAUAACCCAGCCGAGAGAGCUCCGGGGCAGAGAGUCUAAAUCCCAAGUGGCUGGAGCCCAGAUCAGAGGCGCUUGUAAAUGGGGGUCUUACUAUGUAGCCCUGCAUGUCCUAAAAUUCUUCACAUAGACCACUCUCAGACUCACAGAGAUCCACCUGGUGCUGGGAUGAAAGGCGAGCGCUACUACACCCAGCCGCAUUUCAAAGUUGGAACUGACAGGAUAUCGGGAUGGCUUGGAUGAGGGUGUUAAAGGCAGGUGCAAUUGGUGGUGGGCAGCUAUGCUUCCCUGUGUGGGAUAGCUGGGGGAGGGCAGGAUUCAGGCCUAGGUCCAGGGUCCUUGGGGGGGGCCUUCCGUGGAGACCCGACCAGGAAAUCUAGGUAAGACCACAAGCAAUGAGAUAAAUCAGCUUGGAGUUCAGCAGAGAGACCAAGGACACAGCUGUCAAUUCGGAAGUCACCACAGGAGGAGGCUCUACACCCAGAGUGAGGACAGACAGAGAGGAUGGAGUGGACGACGAGCCCAGGGGUCUCUUUACUGCCUCAUGGAAUGAUAGAGGAGCCUGAAGGAUGGAGAGUGAGGUGAGAGGGGCAGAUGAAGGGGUCCUUCAGGAGGGCGUGGCCGACUGGACCAGAGCCGAGGAAGGACCCUCAGCCUUGGCAGCUUGCGGGCAGAUGACAACCUAGGGUAAUAAUGAGAGCCUGCUCUGGCUGUGUUUGAAGGAGGGCAGGCUAAAUGCGGUGCAGCAUUCUGGAUUAUACCACACGCGGAAGUGCCUUCGUGGAAAAACCUGAAAUCCAAAUAGAAUCUGGGGCCAUGAAUGAAGGUGAUUCUCAGUUCCUUCAGGAUAGACUAGUUUGGACCCCUGCUGAAUUCCACCGCUGGCGAUUUCCAGCUCUGAAGAAACAAGUCAGUAAGCAGGCUUCCUCCAGGCCCUCUGCUCCGGGGUCCAGACUUCCUACGCAGUGGAUGCAGAAAUGGAAGUAGACCCUUCCUUCAACAGAAUAUAACGAAAAUUAUUUUCAACUGUGGGGCUGGAAAGGUGGAUCAGUGGGUGAAGGGGUUUGCCUCGGGGCUGCACAGCCUGAGUUCUGGUCCCUGGGAGAAAGUGGAGAAAGUGAGAGGUGACUCCAAAGGCUUGUCUACAACCUUCACGCCUGUGCUGUAGCAGGCAGGGGCGCAGGCACACACAAAACUGAUCAGUCAAACUGCCAACUCCUUCUCCUUCUACG